GUUAUUGAUGUUGUUUUGGCAGAGGAGCGGUAGGAGGGAGACGGAACCGACACAGAUCUGGUAAGAAUCUCUGGCUACGGCACACGGCGACGGCGGUGACGGUGGUUCCGUCCGACGGUGGGGUAGCGACGUGACGAAGUUCCGUGGACGGCAGUCAUGGUGGUGCACGGUUCGGGUUGGCCCGAGACCUGUUGUGGUUCAGUUUCGAGUCGGUUUUCGGUUCCGGUUCAACCGAGUCAACACAGCGAGUUGACUGGUUAAUGCUGGUCAACUCGGGUUUGGUGAUCGGGUCAAGGUUCGGUCAACAAGUCAGCAAGUUAUUCUUCACAGAUUCAUGUUAUGGGUUAUCAGGUCAAGACGCGGGUACUAGUCAGCGGGUCAAACCUGGUCGACUCGGGUCAAACCGAGUCGACUCAGUCAACGCACAGUCAACCGUUGAGUCAACUGGUCAAAGCCAGCCAACUCGGUCAACUCAGUUCGUUUUGGUCAAUGCCCGGUCAACUCAGGACCCGGUAAAGUUUUAACGAUGCGUUAAACUUUAUUCAUAGAUUCGUAGAUUUUUAGUUACGUGACCGAGCUCGACCAUAUUCGAUUAAGUAUUAGUUUACAUAUUAAUAUACUUGACGAAACGCU
Molecule: long non-coding RNA, 633 nt
Organism: Helianthus annuus (common sunflower)
Lineage: Eukaryota; Viridiplantae; Streptophyta; Magnoliopsida; Asterales; Asteraceae
Exons: 2
Source: RefSeq, a predicted model, not a curated record